RNAcentral lists this transfer RNA (75 nucleotides) under Candidatus Woesearchaeota archaeon. Its description in RNAcentral is "tRNA-Ile". It matches the Rfam family "tRNA". Rfam says of the family: Transfer RNA (tRNA) molecules are approximately 80 nucleotides in length. Their secondary structure includes four short double-helical elements and three loops (D, anti-codon, and T loops). Lineage: Archaea; Nanobdellati; Candidatus Woesearchaeota. The record is from RNAcentral.
GGGCUCGUAGCUCAGCUUGGUUAGAGCGCUGCUCUGAUAAGGCAGAGGUCGCAGGUUCAAGUCCCGCCGAGCCCA